UUUGUGGUUAGCACGAGACGGUUGACACAAUGAUCUGAAGUUCAAACUGCCAUUUUCUACUGUCCGCUGCAAGAUCUUGGCUGGAAUGUAAAAGGAAUGUCCAAAAUAUUUAAAUGACAAACAGGAUGGGAACUGAUAAUGAGCAAUAUGCUGAAACAGACAUCUGGCAUAUUCCUAUAAUCAGUAUCAUGGCCUUUGUAUACAACAAAAUUGAUUGGAACUCCUAGACUAGAAAUAUAAUUCAAGAUUUAAAUAAGGCACUGGUCAUAGUUUUAGAAAGUGUGGCUAGCAUUCUGAAGGAAGACAGAGAGAUGGAAAGACAUCAAAGAAUGGGCAGGUCUGCCAAGAAAUGGUUUAUCCAGGGCUAAGUACAGAGAGGAAUAUAGAAGGGCUGUUGACAGAUCUUGUGUGGUGGCCCCAUGGUUCAACAGACUGAUUGAUAGGAAUUAGUCAUUCAAAAGACGGUGAGGAAAAGAAUGGUCGACAAACCUUGUGUGGUGCCUUAACAGUCCA
This is a long non-coding RNA of Biomphalaria glabrata, 513 nucleotides long. RefSeq lists it as uncharacterized. NCBI's taxonomy places the organism in Eukaryota, Metazoa, Mollusca, Gastropoda, Planorbidae. The transcript is spliced from 4 exons. The record is from RefSeq and is a predicted model, not a curated record.